GUGAUUUUUUUGCAUUAUUUGUUUAUAAUUCACAAAUAUGCAAAUAAGGCUGUUAAAUGGAAAAUAGUGUGAAUUAACCAAAACAUUUUUUUUUAUCUUAACUCCUAAAUACCCAAAGAUUUUGGAAAUAUAUAUAAUGUUGCAAAGUUAUUACUACCAAUUUGGACGAAAUUUGAGAUUUUGCAUGGUUUUAUGGCAGACUGGCUCUUAAAG
RNAcentral lists this long non-coding RNA (213 nucleotides) under Mytilus galloprovincialis (Mediterranean mussel). The record is from RNAcentral. Lineage: Eukaryota; Metazoa; Mollusca; Bivalvia; Mytilida; Mytilidae.